GUGUAAACCCCACUCGGAGCAAGGCCAAAUAGGAACCCAUCGAUGCUGCUCGCAUUGGGUUCGGGUAGGCCGCUAAAGGCUUGCGGUGACGUAAGCCAUAGAUGAAUGAUUGUCCUCGACAGAACCCGGCUUAUAGGCUGGCUCACUUU
RNAcentral lists this RNase P RNA (149 nucleotides) under OM182 bacterium. RNAcentral describes it as "partial RNase P RNA component class A". It matches the Rfam family "Bacterial RNase P class A", at positions 204 to 367 of the family's 367-position model. From Rfam's summary of the family: Ribonuclease P (RNase P) is a ubiquitous endoribonuclease, found in archaea, bacteria and eukarya as well as chloroplasts and mitochondria. Its best characterised activity is the generation of mature 5'-ends of tRNAs by cleaving the 5'-leader elements of precursor-tRNAs. The record is from RNAcentral. Lineage: Bacteria; Pseudomonadati; Pseudomonadota; Gammaproteobacteria.